GGGCCUAUGGCGCAAUUGGUAGCGCGUAGUAAGUUCCACUUGCAUUCCAACAGAUUGCAAAAACAUCCUUCUAACAGAUUGAAAUAGCGACUCCAGAUCGUAAGGUUGUCCGAUCGAGCCGGGCUGGGCUCA
Aspergillus welwitschiae is the source of this 132-nucleotide non-coding RNA. NCBI's taxonomy places the organism in Eukaryota, Fungi, Ascomycota, Eurotiomycetes, Eurotiales, Aspergillaceae. The record is from the annotation of a RefSeq genome assembly.